UUUCCGUAGGUGAACCUGCGGAAGGAUCAUUAUUGGAUUUUGAAACUUCAGGCUGCUGCUGGCUCUCCUCGGAGGGCAUGUGCACGCUUGUUGUCCAUUAUUUCUCCCACUGUGCACAAAUUGUAGACCUUUCAGUAGGCCUAUGUUGUUUUUCACAAUCUCUGAAUGUAAUAGAAUGGUUUUGAAUCUUGGGAAAUACAAUAUAACUUUCAGCAACGGAUCUCUUGGCUCUC
RNAcentral lists this unclassified non-coding RNA (233 nucleotides) under plant metagenome. RNAcentral describes it as "partial contains small subunit ribosomal RNA, internal transcribed spacer 1, and 5.8S ribosomal RNA". The record is from RNAcentral.